This is a long non-coding RNA of Podarcis raffonei (Aeolian wall lizard), 1384 nucleotides long. RefSeq lists it as uncharacterized. The record is from RefSeq and is a predicted model, not a curated record. NCBI's taxonomy places the organism in Eukaryota, Metazoa, Chordata, Lepidosauria, Squamata, Lacertidae. The transcript is spliced from 2 exons.
CACCCCGGGGCCGCGCGGCGGGGCUCCUUACGUUUCGCCUUCCUCUCUGGCUGCCCGUGCGGAGCAGCGGGUCGAGGUCUCCAGUGUUCAACUUUGUGCUGAAAGCGAGCAACAGAAAUCACCAAGGAUCAUAUUCUGAGCCAAAGAAAAAAAAGAAUGACCCUCAGAGCAUUACUGGUUUUGAAGCCAAACCACAAGUUCUCCAUGGUGUUUCGGAAUCAGCCCUUUUUCUUCCUCUGCAAUACCUUCUGGUUGUGAUGAUUUAUUUCUGUUUGCAUUAUUUAUGUCAGGGGUAUUUUUCCCCCAUAAGAGAGUUUGCACAGCAAAUAUCCAGAGGUCCACAAUUGUGCUCACCAUAGAGCGUGCCCAAAUAACCUCUAGCAUGUAUGACAAGCCUUCAUCUCUUUCCACAGCUACUAGGCUUUGGAAGCUGAUCAUUGCCCCAGCCCAGCCUCCCUAACCUGGUGGUCUGUUUUGGAAGUGCAGCACCAAUCAGGGAUAACACACGCAGAGAGAGAAAGAAUUGUAGCGUUGGGAGGGACCAUAAGGGUCAUCUAGCCCAGCCCUCUGCAAUGCAGGAAUCUUUCGUCCAAUGUGGGGCUCAAACUCACAACCCUGAGAUUAAAAACCUCAUGCUCUGUCAACUGAGCUAUGUAGUAUCUCAUCAUCCAGGCUUAAGAUUCCAUCAAAGAACUCUGGCUGUGCAGCCAAUACAAAGAAGAUCAAGGACACAAUCCAGUUCCUCCUCUCCUAGUGCCCAAGGUAUGUAGACAAGCUAGAAGCUGUUGGACCAACUCCAAUCAAUCACAGCAUCCUUGGCAGUUGUACUGUGUUCCUGUGGUCCAUGAGGCCACUGGUAGCCCAGCUCCCGUGUCUGCCAGCUCUCAGCUGCCCUUGCUGGCAGCCAAAGGGGGGAGCUGCAAAUUUGCAAGUGUGCGUCAAGUCACAUCCACACAGAUACAUUUAAGUGAGCAGUCGUGUCUUACUCCCAAAGAAUCCUGAGAACUUUGUGAAGGGUGCUGGGAAUUGUAGCUCUGUGAGGGGUCCUCACAACAUUCGGCACCCUUCAUAAACUAUAGUUUCCAGGACUGUGAGGGUGGGGAAGCCAUGACUGUUAAAUUGGUACAAGAGUGCUUUAAAUGUUUAGUGCAGAUAAAACCAAAAUCUAAGUGAUGCUAGGAAAAAGUUGAGAGCUUGGCAAAAUGAGCGCAAAACCCUGAAAAAUCAUAAUCUAAUGUCUAUCCAUUGUAUAAUAUUUGAAUUUAAAGAAAUUGGCCAUUAUCAAUAACUGCAUCUCUUUGCUUCUAAACUGAGUGUACCAUUAACACAUUUAAGUACUGUAUUUCAAAGUGUAAAAAUGUAUGACUUACCACUUUCUUCUUGA